RNAcentral lists this ribosomal RNA (252 nucleotides) under uncultured bacterium. RNAcentral describes it as "partial 16S ribosomal RNA". It matches the Rfam family "Bacterial small subunit ribosomal RNA", at positions 524 to 776 of the family's 1533-position model. The record is from RNAcentral.
UACGUAGGGGGCAAGCGUUAUCCGGAUUUACUGGGUGUAAAGGGAGCGUAGACGGCAGAGCAAGUCUGAAGUGAAAGCCCGCGGCCCAACUGGGGACUGCUUUGGAAACUGCCCGGCUAGAGUGCUGGAGAGGUAAGCGGAAUUCCUAGUGUAGCGGUGAAAUGCGUAGAUAUUAGGAGGAACACCAGUGGCGAAGGCGGCUUACUGGACAGUAACUGACGUUGAGGCUCGAAAGCGUGGGGAGCAAACAGG